GUGUGUAAGCGCAGCGAUGCGUUGAGCUAACCGGUACUAAUGACCCGUGAGGCUUAACCUUGCAACGCCAGAAGCGUUCUG
Molecule: ribosomal RNA, 81 nt
Filed under: Erwinia amylovora
Lineage: Bacteria; Pseudomonadati; Pseudomonadota; Gammaproteobacteria; Enterobacterales; Erwiniaceae
Description: partial 23S ribosomal RNA
Source: RNAcentral